This 1346-nucleotide ribosomal RNA is filed under the name activated sludge metagenome. RNAcentral describes it as "bacterial LSU rRNA". It matches the Rfam family "Bacterial large subunit ribosomal RNA", at positions 1119 to 2567 of the family's 2925-position model. The record is from RNAcentral.
UCAUUUAAAGAAAGCGUAACAGCUCACUGGUCUAAAUAAGAGAUCCUGCGGCGAAAAUGUAACGGGGCUAAAGUGAUGCACCGAAGCUUAGGGUUCAGUAGCAAUACUGAGCGGUAGCGGAGCGUUCCGUAAGCGAGUGAAGCGGGAGGGUAACCGACCGUGGACGUAUCGGAAGUGCGAAUGCUGACAUGAGUAGCGACAAAGAGGGUGAGAUGCCCUCUCGCCGAAAGACCAAGGGUUCCUGCUUAAAGCUAAUCUGAGCAGGGUAAGCCGGCCCCUAAGACGAGCCCGAAGGGGGUAGUCGAUGGGAACCACGUUAAUAUUCGUGGGCCUGGAGAUGUGUGACGGAUCUCUUACGUUGUAUGUCCUUAUCGGAUUGGACAUGCUUCCACGAGGUUCCAGGAAAUAGCCUCUCCGUAUAGACCGUACCCGAAACCGACACAGGUGGUCAGGUAGAGUAUACCAAGGCGCUUGAGAGAAGUAUCCUGAAGGAACUCGGCAAAUUGCCUCCGUACCUUCGGAAGAAGGAGGCCCCACUUCUGCGCAAGCAGUUGUGGGGGGCACAGGCCAGGGGGUAGCGACUGUUUAGCAAAAACACAGGACUCUGCUAAGUCGGCUUCAAGACGACGUAUAGGGUCUGACGCCUGCCCGGUGCCGGAAGGUUAAGAGGAGGAGUGCAAGCUCUGAAUUGAAGCCCCGGUAAACGGCGGCCGUAACUAUAACGGUCCUAAGGUAGCGAAAUUCCUUGUCGGGUAAGUUCCGACCUGCACGAAUGGCGUAACGACUUCCCCACUGUCUCCAGGAUAUGCUCAGCGAAAUUGAAUUCUCCGUGAAGAUGCGGAGUACCCGCGGUUAGACGGAAAGACCCCGUGCACCUUUACUGCAGCUUCAGAGUGGCAUUAGGAAAGAAUUGUGUAGCAUAGGUGGGAGGCUUUGAAGCCGGGACGCCAGUUCCGGUGGAGCCAUAGGUGAAAUACCACCCUGUUGUUUUCUGAUGUCUAACCUCGCACCGUUAUCCGGUGCAGGGACCCUCUGUGGCGGGUAGUUUGACUGGGGCGGUCGCCUCCUAAAGAGUAACGGAGGCGCGCGAUGGUAGGCUCAGGACGGUUGGAAACCGUCUGCGAGAGUGCAAUGGCAUAAGCCUGCCUGACUGCGAGACUGACGAGUCGAGCAGAGACGAAAGUCGGUCAUAGUGAUCCGGUGAUCCCGUGUGUGGAGGGUCAUCGCUCAACGGAUAAAAGGUACUCCGGGGAUAACAGGCUGAUCGCCCCCAAGCGUCCAUAGCGACGGGGCGGUUUGGCACCUCGAUGUCGGCUCAUCACAUCCUGGGGCUGGAGCAGGUCCCA